This 253-nucleotide ribosomal RNA is filed under the name uncultured bacterium. RNAcentral describes it as "partial 16S ribosomal RNA". It matches the Rfam family "Bacterial small subunit ribosomal RNA", at positions 524 to 776 of the family's 1533-position model. The record is from RNAcentral.
UACGAAGGGGGCUAGCGUUGUUCGGAAUCACUGGACGUAAAGGGCGCGUAGGCGGCCGAUCAAGUCGGGGGUGAAAGCCUGUGGCUCAACCACAGAAUUGCCUUCGAUACUGUUUGGCUUGAGACCGGAAGAGGUAAGUGGAACUGCGAGUGUAGAGGUGAAAUUCGUAGAUAUUCGCAAGAACACCAGUGGCGAAGGCGGCUUACUGGUCCGGUUCUGACGCUGAGGCGCGAAAGCGUGGGGAGCAAACAGG